This 255-nucleotide ribosomal RNA is filed under the name uncultured bacterium. RNAcentral's name for it is "partial 16S ribosomal RNA". It matches the Rfam family "Bacterial small subunit ribosomal RNA", at positions 527 to 779 of the family's 1533-position model. The record is from RNAcentral.
CGAAGGGGCUAGCGUUGUUCGGAAUUACUGGGCGUAAAAGGGCGCGUAGGCGGUUUGUUAAGUCAGGCGUGAAAGCCCUGGGCUCAACCUGGGAGGUGCGUUUGAUACUGGCAAGCUUGAGUGCAGGAGAGGAUGGUGGAAUUCCCAGUGUAGAGGUGAAAUUCGUAGAUAUUGGGAAGAACACCGGUGGCGAAGGCGGCCAUCUGGACUGCAACUGACGCUGAGGCGCGAAAGCGUGGGGGAGCAAACAGGAUU